GACGAACGCUGGCGGCGUGCCUAAUACAUGCAAGUUGAGCGCUGAAGGUUGGUACUUGAACCAACUGGAUGAGCAGCGAACGGGUGAGUAACGCGUGGGGAAUCUGCCUUUGAGCGGGGGACAACAUUUGGAAACGAAUGCUAAUACCGCAUAAAAACUUUAAACACAAGUUUUAAGUUUGAAAGAUGCAAUUGCAUCACUCAAAGAUGAUCCCGCGUUGUAUUAGCUAGUUGGUGAGGUAAAGGCUCACCAAGGCGAUGAUACAUAGCCGACCUGAGAGGGUGAUCGGCCACAUUGGGACUGAGACACGGCCCAAACUCCUACGGGAGGCAGCAGUAGGGAAUCUUCGGCAAUGGACGAAAGUCUGACCGAGCAACGCCGCGUGAGUGAAGAAGGUUUUCGGAUCGUAAAACUCUGUUGGUAGAGAAGAACGUUGGUGAGAGUGGAAAGCUCAUCAAGUGACGGUAACUACCCAGAAAGGGACGGCUAACUACGUG
RNAcentral lists this ribosomal RNA (497 nucleotides) under uncultured bacterium. Its description in RNAcentral is "partial 16S ribosomal RNA". It matches the Rfam family "Bacterial small subunit ribosomal RNA", at positions 28 to 507 of the family's 1533-position model. The record is from RNAcentral.